Molecule: transfer RNA, 60 nt
Filed under: Myotis davidii
Lineage: Eukaryota; Metazoa; Chordata; Mammalia; Chiroptera; Vespertilionidae
Rfam family: tRNA
About the family: Transfer RNA (tRNA) molecules are approximately 80 nucleotides in length. Their secondary structure includes four short double-helical elements and three loops (D, anti-codon, and T loops).
Source: Rfam by way of RNAcentral
GUUGCUCAGUGGUUAGAGCAUUGGCCUAUUGACCCAAGGGUUGCGGGUUCGAAUUCUGCC